This 77-nucleotide transfer RNA is filed under the name Pseudahrensia aquimaris. RNAcentral describes it as "tRNA-Arg". It matches the Rfam family "tRNA". Rfam says of the family: Transfer RNA (tRNA) molecules are approximately 80 nucleotides in length. Their secondary structure includes four short double-helical elements and three loops (D, anti-codon, and T loops). Further hydrogen bonds mediate the characteristic L-shaped molecular structure. tRNAs have two regions of fundamental functional importance: the anti-codon, which is responsible for specific mRNA codon recognition, and the 3' end, to which the tRNAs corresponding amino acid is attached (by aminoacyl-tRNA synthetases). tRNAs cope with the degeneracy of the genetic code in two manners: having more than one tRNA (with a specific anti-codon) for a particular amino acid; and 'wobble' base-pairing, i.e. permitting non-standard base-pairing at the 3rd anti-codon position. The record is from RNAcentral. RNAcentral also lists the same sequence under 17 other names. Lineage: Bacteria; Pseudomonadati; Pseudomonadota; Alphaproteobacteria; Hyphomicrobiales; Ahrensiaceae.
GCACCCGUAGCUCAGCUGGAUAGAGCGCUGCCCUCCGAAGGCAGAGGUCGCGCGUUCGAAUCGCGCCGGGUGCACCA